GAUGAACGCUGGCGGCGUGCUUAACACAUGCAAGUCGAACGGGAUCCCAGGAGCUUGCUCCUGGGUGAGAGUGGCGAACGGGUGAGUAAUGCGUGACCGACCUGCCCCAUACACCGGAAUAGCUCCUGGAAACGGGUGGUAAUGCCGGAUGCUCCGACAUGACGCAUGUCGUGUCGGGAAAGAUUCUAUCGGUAUGGGAUGGGGUCGCGUCCUAUCAGCUUGAUGGCGGGGUAACGGCCCACCAUGGCUUCGACGGGUAGCCGGCCUGAGAGGGCGACCGGCCACAUUGGGACUGAGAUACGGCCCAGACUCCUACGGGAGGCAGCAGUGGGGAAUAUUGCACAAUGGGCGCAAGCCUGAUGCAGCGACGCCGCGUGCGGGAUGACGGCCUUCGGGUUGUAAACCGCUUUUGACUGGGAGCAAGCCCUUCGGGGUGAG
RNAcentral lists this ribosomal RNA (438 nucleotides) under uncultured bacterium. RNAcentral describes it as "bacterial SSU rRNA". It matches the Rfam family "Bacterial small subunit ribosomal RNA", at positions 28 to 473 of the family's 1533-position model. The record is from RNAcentral.